UAAUACGGAGGUGGCAGGCGUUACUCGGAUUGAUUGGGUGUAAAGGGUGUGUAGGUGGUGAAUUAAGUCGAAUGUGAAAUCCCUUGGCUUAACCAAGGAACUGCAUUCGAAACUGAUUUGCUUGAGCAAUGGAGAGGAAAGCGGAAUUCCCCGGUGUAACAGUGAAAUGUGUAGAUAUCGGGAGGAACACCAGUGGCGAAGGCGGCUUUCUGGACAUUUGCUGACACUGAAACACGAGAGCAUGGGGAGCAAACAGGAUUAGAUACCCUGGUAGUCCAUGCCGUAAACGAUGUACACUAGGUGUCGGGCCCUCUGGGUUCGGUGCCGCAGUUAACACACUAAGUGUACCACCUGGGGAGUACGGUCGCAAGACUGAAACUCAAAGAAAUUGACGGGGACCCGCACAAGCGGUGGAGCAUGUGGUUUAAUACGACGCUACGCGUGGAACCUUACCAGGACUUGACAUGUAUUUGAAAUCCUAUCGAAAGUUAGGACCUGUCCUAAAGACACAGAUACACA
RNAcentral lists this ribosomal RNA (519 nucleotides) under uncultured Caminicella sp. Its description in RNAcentral is "bacterial SSU rRNA". It matches the Rfam family "Bacterial small subunit ribosomal RNA", at positions 521 to 1036 of the family's 1533-position model. The record is from RNAcentral. Lineage: Bacteria; Bacillati; Bacillota; Clostridia; Peptostreptococcales; Caminicellaceae.